AAAACAAAACAAAAAUUAGGACACGAUAUGUUGUUAGUCUCGUCAAUCAUUCACUGCCUUUUAAGACAAAAAUAAGAGAGUGAAAUAUAAAUUAAUAUAUAUUAAAAGGGUCAGACAGGUACAUGGGUCAGACAGGUACAUGGGUCAGACAGGUUGUCACAGGAGAGGAGAGGAGGCACUGAGGGGUUUAAC
Molecule: long non-coding RNA, 192 nt
Organism: Oncorhynchus keta (chum salmon)
Lineage: Eukaryota; Metazoa; Chordata; Actinopteri; Salmoniformes; Salmonidae
Exons: 2
Source: RefSeq, a predicted model, not a curated record